Molecule: ribosomal RNA, 436 nt
Filed under: uncultured microorganism
Description: bacterial SSU rRNA
Rfam family: Bacterial small subunit ribosomal RNA
Source: RNAcentral
AAAUGACGGUACCUGACUAAUAAGCACCGGCUAACUACGUGCCAGCAGCCGCGGUAAUACGUAGGGUGCGAGCGUUAAUCGGAAUUACUGGGCGUAAAGCGUGCGCAGGCGGUUGUGCAAGACAGAUGUGAAAUCCCCGGGCUUAACCUGGGAAUUGCAUUUGUGACUGCACGGCUAGAGUGUGUCAGAGGGGGGUAGAAUUCCACGUGUAGCAGUGAAAUGCGUAGAUAUGUGGAGGAAUACCGAUGGCGAAGGCAGCCCCCUGGGAUAACACUGACGCUCAUGCACGAAAGCGUGGGGAGCAAACAGGAUUAGAUACCCUGGUAGUCCACGCCCUAAACGAUGUCUACUAGUUGUCGGGUCUUAAUUGACUUGGUAACGCAGCUAACGCGUGAAGUAGACCGCCUGGGGAGUACGGUCGCAAGAAUGAAACUCA